UACGGAGGUCUCAAGCGUUGUUCGGAUUCAUUGGGCGUAAAGGGUGCGCCAGCGGCGUGGUAAGUUGAGUGUGAAAUCCCGGGGCUCAACCCCGGAACUGCACUCAAUACUGCCAUGCUCGAGGACUGUAGAGGAGAAUGGAAUUCAUGGUGUAGCAGUGAAAUGCGUAGAUAUCAUGAGGAAGACCAGUUGCGAAGGCGAUUCUCUGGGCAGUUCCUGACGCUCAUGCACGAAGGCCAGGGGAGCAAACGGG
RNAcentral lists this ribosomal RNA (253 nucleotides) under uncultured bacterium. RNAcentral's name for it is "partial 16S ribosomal RNA". It matches the Rfam family "Bacterial small subunit ribosomal RNA", at positions 524 to 776 of the family's 1533-position model. The record is from RNAcentral.